AGCAAUAAGCUGCUGAUGGCUUGAUCAGAGCAGAGUAAUUGGCUGCAGAGUAUUUGCUGGCAGCAUGGUGUUUGUUACGAGUACAGUGAGCAACAUCUUAAGGAGACAUAUUAUAAUCAGCCAAAUGCAGCUGAGCGCCGGGGUUCUUCAGGCCUAUAAAGAGGCAUCCUGCAGAGAAGCUGUAGCUCUGUUCAUUUCACUGGCUCAGACUUAGCUCAUUGGCCAGGUGCGGGAAGCGGUUUCUGCUCAGAGGCUGUGUUGCAAAUUCCAGCGAACAAGCCCUGGGAGGGCAGUCUCCAUGGCGGGAGCAAAACAUGGCUGCUUCGAAAGAGCCAGCGCCAGCACUGCUUUCUCUGCCUGCGGCAGGCUUGAUGAGGUAAGUGGGGCUUCUGCAUUGAUUUGAAUCUUGUUUACAUUGGCUUUCUCUGAGGAGCUAUCUGGAGCUCUUUUAACAUUGAUUAGAUGGGCAGCGAAAGAAGCUUAGCAAAUAUACCUCUUUCAAAAACAAAAAUGGGCCAGCGGAGGCAAACUUCAUGCAGCCUGAGGCCAUUACUUACUUCGCCAGUGGCUUCCCUUUGCACUGUUUGAGAUGCAACACAGGGCCAAAUCUGACUCCUUGGGUGGAUGUUAACGGUUUCCUCCCCACCUCUUCCCGUUUUAUUUAUUUCAAGGAAUUGGCAAUUUGUGUUUCAAGAUUUUAAACGACUCCUAGCAUUAGCUGCAGCCAGAUAAACUGCAGGCAUGGUCUCACUGCCCAAACUGCUACAAACUCUGCCGAUGGCCAUCUAAAUCCUACCUGCACUGUGGCACCCUCUGCUCGUCCAGUUCUCUGCCUAUGCACCUGUACCUUGUCAAGCAGCACCCUCUGUUAUUCCACUUCUGGGUUUCCCACACAGCUUUGCUGAAGCAAUUCAGCCAUGACCGACAGCCACCCCAGCUGCUGAAGUUCUGAGUUUCCAUGUACAGCUUUGCCAGUACACUUUUCUCCUGUCUUGUGGCUCACUAUGAUAACCCAGCACUAAGGGCUCACUCAGCUCUGCCAAUGUCCACAAGUACUGGCCCGCUGCCCCCUAUGCUCCAGAUGUAAGGGACUUGUUGUUGUUAUUCCACCUUCUGCUUCAAAGAAGAGAUGUCCAGGUAUCCGACCAAGUGAGAGCAUGGCAGCCAGUAAUUCUAAGGGCUUGGCAUGGGCACUUCAAAUGCCACCUAUGCAGAAUCUUCAGGCCAGAAAGUAAGGACCACAUCCUUCUGUUCGCAGCAGGCUAAAGCUCUUUCAUUGCAGCUUGUGUCUUUUCUCAGAACUCUUAUGAAUGUUCCCAUUGACCACACACCCGGAAGAAGAGCAGCAUGACUCAGGUGUUCUGUCUCCAACUGGUCUCACCUCACACCCCUCCCCAGCCUUCCAGCCUAUGAGGUGACCCCCAGCUUCCAAGCAAUAAGGGACAACACAGUCUCUUAAGAAGAAGAGCAGUGGUGGCCGCAUUUUUCCAGCCUGGGUUAGGAUUGGCAGGGCGCAGAAGGAGAGAGGACACUGGUGGCCUGUCCAGAUUUCACACAUUUGAGAUGGAGCCUGUCUGAGCAUCUCCCAUUCUUCUCACAACAGCACCAGCCCCCUCCUGGCUCAAACCCAGGAUUCAAACUGAACAACAAAGGAGGUGAGGAAGGGUCAGUGAGCUUUAGUUUCAUUGCUGUCUCUGCCUAUCCUGGUUUCAGCUGAGGCUGGAAGUAAACAGGGCCACAGCAGUAAUAACCCUUUGCUCCCUUAGUGCACCUUCCAUGUGCUAAGCUCAUUAUGGGGCUCCAAACGCCCGGCCAAGCGCUGCACAACAUCAUCAGCUGACAACAUCAUCAGCUUGCUGUGGUGGACAGAAUGGGAGAAAACCUCUGCCAUGACCAGGGACGCCUACGUCAUCAUCCGGCCAGAAUGGCUGCCUGGCUUUGGGCUCCCAAGCCACCUCUGGAGCCAGCUCAACAAGUUCAGGUUCCCUGUGCCAAAAUCAACCACACCUGGGGCAUCCAUGAUCACCCCCUGCGCCUCCGUGGUGCUGUGGGGGAUGCUGCACACAUGCUGGAUGGUUGCUCUUUUCAUGCCGGGCUCCCUGGAGGUUUUCUCAAGCUAAACAAUGGUGACUGAGGGGCGCUUUUCAUUGAUUGGCUCAAGGCCAUUUAGCUGUAUUUUUUUUUAACCUUGCCUUCCUGACAUGCAAUCACUCUGUGUGUGUGUGUGUGUGGAGAG
Molecule: long non-coding RNA, 2236 nt
Organism: Chelonia mydas (Green sea turtle)
Lineage: Eukaryota; Metazoa; Chordata; Testudines; Cheloniidae
Exons: 4
Source: RefSeq, a predicted model, not a curated record